This 508-nucleotide ribosomal RNA is filed under the name Ligilactobacillus animalis. RNAcentral's name for it is "bacterial SSU rRNA". It matches the Rfam family "Bacterial small subunit ribosomal RNA", at positions 9 to 485 of the family's 1533-position model. Lineage: Bacteria; Bacillati; Bacillota; Bacilli; Lactobacillales; Lactobacillaceae. The record is from RNAcentral.
GAGUUUGAUUCUGGCUCAGGAUGAACGCUGGCGGCGUGCCUAAUACAUGCAAGUCGAACGAAACUUCUUUAUCACCGAGUGCUUGCACUCACCGAUAAAGAGUUGAGUGGCGAACGGGUGAGUAACACGUGGGCAACCUGCCCAAAAGAGGGGGAUAACACUUGGAAACAGGUGCUAAUACCGCAUAAUCAUAGUUGCCGCAUGGUAACUAUGUAAAAGGUGGCUAUACUACCGCUUUUGGAUGGGCCCGCGGCGCAUUAGCUAGUUGGUGAGGUAAAGGCUUACCAAGGCAAUGAUGCGUAGCCGAACUGAGAGGUUGAUCGGCCACAUUGGGACUGAGACACGGCCCAAACUCCUACGGGAGGCAGCAGUAGGGAAUCUUCCACAACGGGCGAAAGCCUGAUGGAGCAACGCCGCGUGGGUGAAGAAGGUCUUCGGAUCGUAAAACCCUGUUGUUAGAGAAGAAAGUGCGUGAGAGUAACUGUUCACGUUCGACGGUAUCUAACCA